Molecule: long non-coding RNA, 959 nt
Organism: Gymnodraco acuticeps
Lineage: Eukaryota; Metazoa; Chordata; Actinopteri; Perciformes; Bathydraconidae
Exons: 2
Source: RefSeq, a predicted model, not a curated record
AUCGAGGGUAGGAGUCGAGGAGGGGAGUCGAGGAGGGGAGUUCGAGAAAUGAGAAAGGUUCAGGUGUCCACCCUAUACCAGACACUUCUUAGUCAGGAAUUAGUCAGCACAGAGAAGUAUAGAACUGAGUGGGAGACAGAAUUGGGUUAGCCGAUCACUGAGGAAUGUCGGGAAACAAGUUUUAGGAAUAUUCACCGGUGCUCAGUAAAUGUUAGAUUCAAUCUGAUACAAUUUAAAGUUGUACAUAGGUUGCACUACUCAAAAGUUAAUGUAAACAAGACGUAUUCCAGCGUAUCAGCAUUAUGUAACACAUGUAAAAAUCAACCUGGCACCCUUACACACCAACUCUGGACAUGCCCCAACCUCCACUCUUUCUGGACUUCUGUAUUUGAUUUUUAUUCAAAAGCAUUGGACAAGCAAUUGAAGCCUGAUCUCCUUGUGGCCAUUCUGGGGUCCACGAGUGACACUGAUCUGAACUAUGGCAGUGACACAUGGCCGGUGUUUGUGGGGUACUGUUUGGGCUAAAGAACGUAUUUUGAGGUGAUGGAAGUCUGACGCUGGGCCUACAUUUGAGAUGAGGCUGAGGGAGUUGGGUGAGAUCCUCUACCUGGAGAAACUUAGAUUCCAGACUGCAGGAAGGGGAGAGUGUUUGAUAAGGCCUGGGCUCCGGUGCUGAGACACUUCAGAGGUCUGGGUGAGGGAUGAAUGAUCAAUAAUGUUAACCCUGUAACCAUGUGUUCUUUGUCCUGAUGUGCUCUCUUGGGUUGCUCUCUUGUUUCUAGCAUGAAUAUUGCAUUUCUUAUUAUCUCGUGUUUUAAAAACCACCAACAGCCUGAUUGUACUAGUAUGUUCUGAAUCCGCUGUUUUGUUGUUAUGGGAAAUGUAAAAUAUGAUUGCUUUGUUAUACCAAUGUGGUUCCUCCAGCCAUUUUCUGCAAUAAAAAUAUUCUUUAAAAAAAA